AGCGAACGUUAGCGGCAGGCCUAACACAUGCAAGUCGAGCGAGAAUAGGGCUUCGGCUCUUAGUAAAGCGGCGGACGGGUGCGUAACACGUAGAUAAUCUGCCCUCUAGCGGGGAACAACAGUCCGAAAGGAUUGCUAAUGCCGCAUGUCACUGCGGGGACUCAGGUCCCUGUUGGAAAAGGGGCCCGCAAGGGUCUCACUAGAGGAUGAGUCUGCGGCCCAUCAGCUUGUUGGCGGGGUAAUGGCCCACCAAGGCUAAGACGGGUAGCUGGUCUGAGAGGAUAACCAGCCACACUGGGACUGAGACACGGCCCAGACUCCUACGGGAGGCAGCAGUGGGGAAUAUUGGACAAUGGGCGCAGCCUGAUCCAGCCAUGCCGCGUGAGUGAUGAAGGUCUUCGGAUCGUAAAGCUCUGUGGGAAGGGAAGAAAAAGUAUACUCAUACGUAUGCUCUUGACGG
Molecule: ribosomal RNA, 460 nt
Filed under: uncultured bacterium
Lineage: Bacteria
Description: bacterial SSU rRNA
Rfam family: Bacterial small subunit ribosomal RNA
Source: RNAcentral